GAUGAACGCUGGCGGCGUGCUUAACACAUGCAAGUCGAACGGUGAAGGCGGAGCUUGCUCUGCUGGAUCAGUGGCGAACGGGUGAGUAACACGUGAGCAAUCUGCCCCUGACUCUGGGAUAAGCGCUGGAAACGGCGUCUAAUACUGGAUACGAGCUGCGAAGGCAUCUUCAGCAGCUGGAAAGAACUUCGGUCAGGGAUGAGCUCGCGGCCUAUCAGCUUGUUGGUGAGGUAACGGCUCACCAAGGCGUCGACGGGUAGCCGGCCUGAGGGUGACCGGCCACACUGGGACUGAGACACGGCCCAGACUCCUACGGGAGGCAGCAGUGGGGAAUAUUGCACAAUGGGCGAAAGCCUGAUGCAGCAACGCCGCGUGAGGGACGACGGCCUUCGGGUUGUAAACCUCUUUUAGCAGGGAAGAAGCGAAAGUGACGGUACCUGCAGAAAAAGCGCCGGCUAACUACGUG
Molecule: ribosomal RNA, 466 nt
Filed under: uncultured bacterium
Lineage: Bacteria
Description: partial 16S ribosomal RNA
Rfam family: Bacterial small subunit ribosomal RNA
Source: RNAcentral